UACGUAGGGGGCAAGCGUUGUCCGGAAUCAUUGGGCGUAAAGCGCGUGUAGGCGGCUUUGUAAGUUAGAGGUGAAAGCCCGGAGCUCAACUCCGGAACUGCCUUUAAAACUGCAUCGCUUGAAUCCAGGAGAGGUGAGUGGAAUUCCGAGUGUAGAGGUGAAAUUCGUAGAUAUUCGGAAGAACACCAGUGGCGAAGGCGACUUACUGGACGAUUGUUGACGCUGAGGUGCGAAAGCGUGGGGAGCAAACAGG
This 253-nucleotide ribosomal RNA is filed under the name uncultured bacterium. Its description in RNAcentral is "partial 16S ribosomal RNA". It matches the Rfam family "Bacterial small subunit ribosomal RNA", at positions 524 to 776 of the family's 1533-position model. The record is from RNAcentral.